AUUGAACGCUGGCGGCAUGCUUUACACAUGCAAGCCGAACGGCAGCGCGGGCUUCGGCCUGGCGGCGAGUGGCGAACGGGUGAGUAAUGCAUCGGAACGUGCCCAGUAGUGGGGGAUAGCCCAGCGAAAGCCGGAUUAAUACCGCAUACGACCUGAGGGUGAAAGCGGGGGACCGAAAGGCCUCGCGCUAUUGGAGCGGCCGAUGUCGGAUUAGCUAGUUGGUGGGGUAAAGGCUUACCAAGGCGACGAUCCGUAGCUGGUCUGAGAGGACGACCAGCCACACUGGGACUGAGACACGGCCCAGACUCCUACGGGAGGCAGCAGUGGGGAAUUUUGGACAAUGGGGGCAACCCUGAUCCAGCCAUGCCGCGUGCGGGAAGAAGGCCUUCGGGUUGUAAACCGCUUUUGUUCGGGAAGAAAUCCUCUGGGCUAAUACCCCGGGGGGAUGACGGUACCGGAAGAAUAAGCACCGGCUAACUACGUG
This 484-nucleotide ribosomal RNA is filed under the name uncultured bacterium. RNAcentral describes it as "partial 16S ribosomal RNA". It matches the Rfam family "Bacterial small subunit ribosomal RNA", at positions 29 to 507 of the family's 1533-position model. The record is from RNAcentral.